This 460-nucleotide ribosomal RNA is filed under the name uncultured bacterium. RNAcentral describes it as "partial 16S ribosomal RNA". It matches the Rfam family "Bacterial small subunit ribosomal RNA", at positions 338 to 795 of the family's 1533-position model. The record is from RNAcentral.
CCUACGGGAGGCAGCAGUGAGGAAUAUUGGUCAAUGGGCGUAAGCCUGAACCAGCCAAGUCGCGUGAGGGAUGAAGGCUCUAUGGAUCGUAAACCUCUUUUAUAAAGGAAUAAAGUGCGGGACGUGUCCCGUUUUGUAUGUACCUUAUGAAUAAGGAUCGGCUAACUCCGUGCCAGCAGCCGCGGUAAUCCGGAGGAUCCGAGCGUUAUCGGGAUUUAUUGGGUUUAAAGGGUGCGUAGAUGGCAUGUUAAGUCAGGUGUGAAUGUCUGUGGCCCAACCGUAGAAUUGCCAUUGAUACUGGCAGGCUUGAGUACGGUUGAGGUAGGCGGAAUGCGUGGUGUAGCGGUGAAAUGCUUAGAUAUCACGAAGAACACCGAUUGCGAAGGCAGCUUACCAAGCCGUGACUGACGCUGAUGCACGAAAGCGUGGGGAUCAAACAGGAUUAGAUACCCGUGUAGUC